CGCCUGGGGACAACCGCCGGCCCCGGAAGGCCCCUCUCCGCCCUCCCGGCUGCCGGGGCGGCGGGCCUGACCUUCCCACCCCUGGGCGGGCCGCUCCCCUCCCCUGGCGGCGGCGGCUCCCCAGCCCAGAUGCGCCCGGGCGUCCGGAGUGGGCCACCUGUUCCGCCGGCAAGCAGCCUCAGCUUCUGCCACCUCAGCACUACUAAAGAGACCAAUUAGCAGCGACUUCCUGCCAUUAUCCACCGUGGAUUUGGACAUUACCGUGUGACUAGCGACUAUCCAGCCAUCAUUCGGAGUCAGAAGGCACUAAAAAUUUCCCAUACCAAAGCAUUAAAACAUCGCAAGCA
Callorhinus ursinus (northern fur seal) is the source of this 347-nucleotide non-coding RNA. Lineage: Eukaryota; Metazoa; Chordata; Mammalia; Carnivora; Otariidae. The record is from RefSeq and is a predicted model, not a curated record.